This 497-nucleotide ribosomal RNA is filed under the name uncultured bacterium. RNAcentral's name for it is "partial 16S ribosomal RNA". It matches the Rfam family "Bacterial small subunit ribosomal RNA", at positions 28 to 507 of the family's 1533-position model. The record is from RNAcentral.
GAUGAACGCUGGCGGCGUGCCUAAUACAUGCAAGUCGAGCGAACGGACGAGAAGCUUGCUUCUCUGAUGUUAGCGGCGGACGGGUGAGUAACACGUGGAUAACCUACCUAUAAGACUGGGAUAACUUCGGGAAACCGGAGCUAAUACCGGAUAAUAUUUUGAACCGCAUGGUUCAAAAGUGAAAGACGGUCUUGCUGUCACUUAUAGAUGGAUCCGCGCUGCAUUAGCUAGUUGGUAAGGUAACGGCUUACCAAGGCAACGAUGCAUAGCCGACCUGAGAGGAUGAUCGGCCACACUGGAACUGAGACACGGUCCAGACUCCUACGGGAGGCAGCAGUAGGGAAUCUUCCGCAAUGGGCGAAAGCCUGACGGAGCAACGCCGCGUGAGUGAUGAAGGUCUUCGGAUCGUAAAACUCUGUUAUUGGGGAAGAACAUAUGUGUAAGUAACUGUGCACAUCUUGACGGUACCUAAUCAGAAAGCCACGGCUAACUACGUG